This 399-nucleotide ribosomal RNA is filed under the name uncultured bacterium. Its description in RNAcentral is "bacterial SSU rRNA". It matches the Rfam family "Bacterial small subunit ribosomal RNA", at positions 29 to 410 of the family's 1533-position model. The record is from RNAcentral.
AACGAACGUUAGCGGCGCGCCUAACACAUGCAAGUCGAGCGAGAAAGGGGCUUCGGCCCCCGGUAAAGCGGCGCACGGGUGAGUAACACGUGGAUAACCUACCCCUUGGUGGUGGAUAACCUUCCGAAAGGAGGGCUAAUACAGCGUAAGACCACGACUUCGAAAGAGGUUGAGGUAAAAGUGGGCCUCUGUACACAAGCUCACGCCAGGGGAUGGGUCCGCGGCCCAUCAGCUAGUUGGUAGGGUAACGGCCUACCAAGGCGAAGACGGGUAGCUGGUCUGAGAGGAUGAUCAGCCACACUGGAACUGAGACACGGUCCAGACUCCUACGGGAGGCAGCAUGGGGAAGUCUUGCGCAAUGGACGAAAGUACUGACGCAGCGACGCCGCGUGAGUGAUG